UUAAUCUUAAAUCCGAGAAUUCCCAUCUGCAAAGUCAGAGGUAAUAUCCCCAUCACUUCCUGAAAAGCUGCAGCAAAUGGAUUUUGAAUUCUCCAUAGGAAUUACAAGCCCAUGAAAACCAAGCAAUGAGGAUUGAGGAUUGUUUAGGUUGGAAGCUCAUCUUAUAAGAAAGAAUACCCAAGAUAGAAGAUACAAUUUGCAAAACACAUGAAGCUC
This is a long non-coding RNA of Mus musculus (house mouse), 216 nucleotides long. RefSeq annotates it as predicted gene, 53301. The record is from RefSeq and is a predicted model, not a curated record. NCBI's taxonomy places the organism in Eukaryota, Metazoa, Chordata, Mammalia, Rodentia, Muridae. The transcript has 3 exons.